RNAcentral lists this ribosomal RNA (432 nucleotides) under uncultured bacterium. RNAcentral's name for it is "partial 16S ribosomal RNA". It matches the Rfam family "Bacterial small subunit ribosomal RNA", at positions 29 to 506 of the family's 1533-position model. The record is from RNAcentral.
AACGAACGCUGGCGGCAUGCCUAACACAUGCAAGUCGAACGAGACCUUCGGGUCUAGUGGCGCACGGGUGCGUAACGCGUGGGAACCUGCCCUUAGGUUCGGAAUAACUCCCCGAAAGGGGUGCUAAUACCGGAUAAUGUCUUCGGACCAAAGAUUUAUCGCCUUUGGAUGGGCCCGCGUUGGAUUAGCUAGUUGGUAGGGUAAAAGCCUACCAAGGCGACGAUCCAUAGCUGGUCUGAGAGGAUGAUCAGCCACACUGGGACUGAGACACGGCCCAGACUCCUACGGGAGGCAGCAGUGGGGAAUAUUCGACAAUGGGCGAAAGCCUGAUCCAGCAAUGCCGCGUGAGUGAUGAAGGCCUUAGGGUUGUAAAGCUCUUUUACCCGGGAUGAUAAUGACAGUACCGGGAGAAUAAGCCCCGGCUAACUCCGU